GAUGAACGCUGGCGGUCUGCUUAACACAUGCAAGUCGAACGAACUCUUCGGAGUGAGUGGCGGACGGGUGAGUAACGCGUGAGAAUCUGCCUGUGGGUCGGGGACAACCACUGGAAACGGUGGCUAAUACCGGAUGAGCCGAAAGGUAAAAGAUUUAUUGCCCACAGAUGAGCUCGCGUCUGAUUAGCUAGUUGGUAAGGUAAAAGCGUACCAAGGCGACGAUCAGUAGCUGGUCUGAGAGGAUGAGCAGCCACACUGGGACUGAGACACGGCCCAGACUCCUACGGGAGGCAGCAGUGGGAAUUUUCCGCAAUGGGCGAAAGCCUGACGGAGCAAUCUCGCGUGAGGGAUGACGGCCUAUGGGUUGUAAACCUCUUUUUCAGGGAGGAAUAAAUGACGUGUACCUGAAGAAUAAGCAUCGGCUAACUCCGUGCCAGCCGCCGCGGUAAU
RNAcentral lists this ribosomal RNA (450 nucleotides) under uncultured bacterium. RNAcentral describes it as "bacterial SSU rRNA". It matches the Rfam family "Bacterial small subunit ribosomal RNA", at positions 28 to 524 of the family's 1533-position model. The record is from RNAcentral.